RNAcentral lists this ribosomal RNA (469 nucleotides) under uncultured Bacillus sp. RNAcentral describes it as "partial 16S ribosomal RNA". The record is from RNAcentral. Lineage: Bacteria; Bacillati; Bacillota; Bacilli; Caryophanales; Bacillaceae.
AUCAUCUAUCCCACCUUAGGCGGCUGGCUCCUUGCGGUUACCUCACCGACUUCGGGUGUUACAAACUCUCGUGGUGUGACGGGCGGUGUGUACAAGGCCCGGGAACGUAUUCACCGCGGCAUGCUGAUCCGCGAUUACUAGCGAUUCCGGCUUCAUGUAGGCGAGUUGCAGCCUACAAUCCGAACUGAGAAUGGCUUUAUGAGAUUAGCUAGCCCUCGCGGGUUUGCGACUCUUUGUACCAUCCAUUGUAGCACGUGUGUAGCCCAGGUCAUAAGGGGCAUGAUGAUUUGACGUCAUCCCCACCUUCCUCCGGUUUGUCACCGGCAGUCACCUUAGAGUGCCCAACUAAAUGCUGGCAACUAAGAUCAAGGGUUGCGCUCGUUGCGGGACUUAACCCAACAUCUCACGACACGAGCUGACGACAACCAUGCACCACCUGUCACUUUUGUCCCCGAAGGGAAAUCCCUAU